AUGCUUACCUCAUGGGGAAUACCAUGGUUCAGAAGGUGGUUUACUCAGAGUUAGGCUCUUUUAUUGCAUAGUUUGGUUGGAAUGAUACCUGUGAUUUCCACAAACAUGGUAAAUUCAGCUCUAUAAUUGAUAGUUUUAAGCUGCUGAAAAAAAACAGAUCUGCUUC
Molecule: small nuclear RNA, 166 nt
Organism: Protopterus annectens (West African lungfish)
Lineage: Eukaryota; Metazoa; Chordata; Ceratodontiformes; Protopteridae
Product: U1 spliceosomal RNA
Exons: 1
Source: RefSeq, a predicted model, not a curated record